UUUGAAACUUCUUAAAAGAAAAGAAUGAAAAAUCAUAUAAAUAGAUCCCUUCAUCAAUAACUAGAUAACACAUAACAUAUUUUCUUCUCAGCAAAAAUAAAACUACGAAAAUUACAAUGGAUAUCACAAAAAUCUCAAUCACCCUUUUCUUGGUGAUGACAUUGGCAAUUUCAUCCAACUGUGAAGUUCUGGCCGCAUCAAGUAUAAUCAUUCUUCCCAAAAGAUUUCAUUAUUUUUAUUAUUAUUAUUUUUUAUCUUUGAACAUUUUGAAAGAAGAACUUAUUAUAUAUGUGAUAGAAUUUGCGAUAACCAUGUAUAUGGAUGUGUAAGAACUUUGAUUUGCCAAAAGAAGUACAACUAUUAUUUGGAUAUGGUAUAUAUGAUUAUAAUCUUAACCUUGGUUGUGUAAAGGUGAAGUAAAUAAGACAACAAACUAUGGAGAAUGCAUUUAUGAGGAGCUUUGUGAGAUGGGAAAGUCCGGAACUCAUGAAUGCUUCGUUAAGUGUUCUAAGAAGAAUAAGAAGUACACAGGAGGAAAAUGUAUUCCAAAAAAUCCAGAAUAUGGAUAUUGUUGUU
This 576-nucleotide long non-coding RNA is filed under the name Brassica rapa (field mustard). RNAcentral describes it as "long non-coding RNA (BRAP_LNC003212)". The record is from RNAcentral. Lineage: Eukaryota; Viridiplantae; Streptophyta; Magnoliopsida; Brassicales; Brassicaceae.